RNAcentral lists this ribosomal RNA (497 nucleotides) under uncultured bacterium. RNAcentral describes it as "partial 16S ribosomal RNA". It matches the Rfam family "Bacterial small subunit ribosomal RNA", at positions 28 to 507 of the family's 1533-position model. The record is from RNAcentral.
GAUGAACGCUGGCGGCGUGCCUAAUACAUGCAAGUCGAGCGAACGGACGAGAAGCUUGCUUCUCUGAUGCUAGCGGCGGACGGGUGAGUAACACGUGGAUAACCUACCUAUAAGACUGGGAUAACUUCGGGAAACCGGAGCUAAUACCGGAUAAUAUUUUGAACCGCAUGGUUCAAAAGUGAAAGGCGGUCUUGCUGUCACUUAUAGAUGGAUCCGCGCUGCAUUAGCUAGUUGGUAAGGUAACGGCUUACCAAGGCAACGAUGCAUAGCCGACCUGAGAGGGUGAUCGGCCACACUGGAACUGAGACACGGUCCAGACUCCUACGGGAGGCAGCAGUAGGGAAUCUUCCGCAAUGGGCGAAAGCCUGACGGAGCAACGCCGCGUGAGUGAUGAAGGUCUUCGGAUCGUAAAACUCUGUUAUUAGGGAAGAACAUAUGUGUAAGUAACUGUGCACAUCUUGACGGUACCUAAUCAGAAAGCCACGGCUAACUACGUG